Non-coding RNA from Heterocephalus glaber (naked mole-rat), 2875 nucleotides. Lineage: Eukaryota; Metazoa; Chordata; Mammalia; Rodentia; Bathyergidae. The record is from RefSeq and is a predicted model, not a curated record.
UGUUCCUGGGAGCUGCUCUUCGUGCUGUUGGCUCUUUCCCACCUGGAGUGGAACAACGAUACAAGUCCUUGCUCUGGUUCCGGGUCAGGAUCAGGCUCUGGUUCAGCAGUGGGUUCCUCUAAAUGUUCUUCCAAGUCAUUGCUGACAGUUUGAUCACAGAAAGUUCCAGAAUCAUCAGGGGUGGGGGGUGGUUACUGCUGAUGCCCACGUGGCUCACCUCCUCCGUGCUGGGAGCUGUGGCACACUGACCUGAACCCUUCUCUGGGCUGGAGACCAUGGCACGCUGACCCAGAAGCCUCCUCUGUGCUGGGACCUGCGACAUGCCUACCCAGAAGCCUUCUCUGGGCUGGAGGCCAUGGCAUGCUGUCCUGGAAUCCUCCUCUGGGCUUGAAGCCAUGGCAUGCUGACUGGGAAGCCUGCUCUGUGCUGACAACUGUGGCACACCUACCUGGAAGCCUCUUCCACACUGGGAGCUGCAGCACACCUACCCAGAAGAAGAUUCUCAUGGUCACUUCUAUCCUCAAUUCUUGGCAGACUGACACCUUGUGGGAGCAAAAGAGCGACAGAAACGGAAAGAGCAACUGUUACUCUUUGGAAAUACCCAGGAGCCGGCAGAGGAUGGACAGCCUGAAUCAAACAACUGAGACCUUGCUGUAUCUGUCGCCUGUUGAAGUUGCCAAUCUCAAAGAAGGAAUCAAUUUUUUUCGAAAUAAGAGCACUGGCAAAGACUAUAUCUUGUACAAGAAUAAGGGUGACCUGAAGGCAUGCAAGAAUUUGUGCAAACACCAAGGAGGCCUGUUCAUAAAAGACAUUGAGGAUUUAGAUGGAAGGUCUGUUAAAUGUACAAAACACAACUGGAAGUUAGAUGUGAGCACCAUGAAGUACAUCAAUCCUCCAGGAAGCUUCUGUCAAGACGAGCUGGUUGUUGAAAUGGAUGAAAACAAUGGGCUUUUACUUCUAGAAUUGAAUCCUCCAAACCCUUGGGAUUCAGAUCCCAGGUCUCCUGAAGAUUUGGCUUUUGGGGAAGUACAGGUAACAUAUCUCACUCAUGCCUGCAUGGACCUCAAAUUGGGAGACAAGAGAAUGGUGUUUGAUCCUUGGUUAAUUGGUCCUGCGUUUGCCAGAGGAUGGUGGUUACUCCAUGAGCCUCCAUCUGACUGGCUAGAGAGGCUGUGCAAAGCAGACCUAAUUUACAUUAGCCACAUGCAUUCGGACCACCUAAGUUACCCAACACUAAAGAAGCUUUCAGAGAGAAGACAAGAUAUUCCAGUUUAUGUUGGGGACACAGAAAGACCUGUGUUUUGGAAUCUGAAUCAGAGUGGUGUCCAGUUAACUAAUAUAAAUGUAGUUCCAUUUGGAAUAUGGCAGCAGGUAGACAAAAAUCUUCGAUUCAUGAUCUUGAUGGAUGGUGUUCAUCCCGAGAUGGACACAUGCAUUAUUGUGGAGUACAAAGGUCACAAAAUACUCAAUACAGUGGACUGCACCAGGCCCAAUGGGGGCAGGCUGCCUGCAAAGGUUGCUUUUAUGAUGAGUGAUUUUGCUGGGGGAGCAUCCGGCUUUCCAAUGACUUUCAGCGGUGGAAAAUUCACUGAGGAAUGGAAAGCUCAGUUCAUUAAAACAGAAAGGAAGAAGCUCCUGAAUUAUAAGGCUCAGCUGGUGAAGGACCUGCAACCCCGAAUUUAUUGUCCCUUUGCUGGGUAUUUUGUGGAGUCCCACCCAUCAGACAAGUACAUUAAGGAAACAAACAUCAAAAAUGACCCAAAUCAGCUCAACAAUCUUAUUAAGAAAAAUUCAGAUGUAGUCACAUGGACCCCUCGACCUGGAGCCACCCUUGACCUGGGCAGGAUGCUGAAGGACCCAACAGACAGCAAGGGCAUCUUAGAGCCUCCUGAAGGAACUAAGAUUUACAAGGAUUCCUGGGACUUCGGACUAUAUCUGAACACCUUGAAUGCUGCUGUAGGAGAUGAAAUCUUCCUUCACUCAUCGUGGAUAAAAGAAUAUUUCACUUGGGCUGGAUUUAAGAAUUAUAACCUAGUGGUCAGGAUGAUUGAGACAGAUGAGGACUUCAACCCUUUUCCAGGAGGCUAUGAGUACUUGGUUGACUUUCUAGAUUUAUCCUUUCCAAAAGAAAGACCCAGCCGGGAGCAUCCAUAUGAGGAGCUCCGUGUCUGCAGAGGGGAUUCCGUACGAUGCAGCCUAGACCACCUGACUUCUGGUGCUGCUGCUGCUACAGGCUGGACACGCCCAGGUUGCCAUGAGAUCGCAGGCCCUGCUCUGCCUCCACUCCUGGCAGCAGCCAUUUAUUGAAUCCUCACUGGGUGCCACGCCUUUUUAAAAGUAUUUCAUACACAUUCACUCACUUAACCCUCACAAUAAUCCAGUGAGGACUGUUUUCCUAUUAUCUUCAUUUUAUAUGGGAAGAAACGGAGGCACAGCACGGUUACCAAGAUUGCCCAGAGAAAACCUGGGUCUGAAACUUCAACGUGACCCGGAGUUUGCGUUCAGCCGCUGUGUCUCGGAACUCCGGUCCACCUCAUUUUCCUUCCCUUGAUUUCUGCUGAGCUUGAGGUCCCGCCUUCUCCCUCAGCCUGCGCUGUCUGCUUCCCCUCACUCCUCAGGCCGCAGCGGCACGGAACCGGAGGGCUCAACCCUGCAAGUUGUUCCUAUCUGUUUCAGAUUCGCAGCCGGGUUGAUGUCAUCAGGUACGUGGUGAAGAACGGUCUGCUCUGGGACGACUUGUAUAUAGGAUUCCAGACGAGGCUCCAGCGGGAUCCUGACAUAUUUCAUCACCUGUUUUGGAAUCAUUUUCAAAUAAAACUCCCCCUAACUCCCCCCAACUGGAGCUUGUUCCUGGUGCACUGUGGAUAGAGUGGCC